Molecule: ribosomal RNA, 789 nt
Filed under: Triticum aestivum (bread wheat)
Lineage: Eukaryota; Viridiplantae; Streptophyta; Magnoliopsida; Poales; Poaceae
Description: partial small subunit ribosomal RNA
Source: RNAcentral
CUGGGAUUGAAGGAAGCCCCUCCGGCGCAUGCCCACACGGCGGAGAAAACCUGCGACCCGUCUGGCAUGACCUUUGCUACCGGUGAUGCAGGCGUGUUGGACAGUACGUCGCACGAGGUCCCUGCCCUUGCCAAGCAGGUCAACAUUUUCAGGAAGAUGGUCAAGGACGGGACCAUCACGGAGAAUCAACUGACUCGCUCUGUAGCGCUCGUGGCCUUCUCCGGCAAUGACUAUGCAGGCACCGACGUCAUUGGCCUAAGUAGCCCCAACGAUAUUAAUGCUUAUAUUGGAAAGGUGACAAAAGAGAUUGCAGCUAAUGUGGAUCAAUUGUUGAAGCUUGGGGUGACCAAGGUUCUUGUCAAUAACUUGCACCCUAUCGGUUGCAUGCCAUCACACACCCGAACCAACAACUACACCACGUGUGAUCUUUUUGAAAACUUGGGUGCAUCCAUCCACAACGAUAAUCUGAAACAAGUUAUGACAUCAAAGAAGAAUGUCUACAUCGUCGACGUGUACACCGCAUUCGCUAAUAUUGUGGAUCAUGCGGCAGGUAAAGGCUCGGAGUUGUCCAAACAAUUCAAGCACAAACUAUCGCCGUGCCGCGAGAGUUUGAAUUCGAAGGGUUACUGCGGACAGCAAGACGAGUCAUCCGCGGAGCUCCUGUACACUGUGUGUGACAAGUCAAGUAAAUUUUUCUAUUGAGACGACAUGCACCCGACCCAUGCAGGAUGGAAGGUUGUGAUAAAACAAUUGGAAAAGCCCUUGAGGGAGUUUGUAAAUCAAGCCUAG